UGGCAACGUCUCAACUCUUAUUUACAUUUGAAUUUUCCAGAGUAUUAACCUGCUUUUCUUUUGAACUUGUUUGCCUGUUGGAUUUACUGCCUGUCUGAUUUAUCUCCUCUUCUGUUUGGACCAUGACUUUACCAUUGCUACUCGUGGUUUUGAUCGUGCCAGUGCAUGUCAGGAUGUGCAGGCAUGGAGACGAGGAGGUGGACGUAAACGCAGUGUUUAGAGCUGUACCAGUGGACACCAACAUCACUAAAGAGGCUAAUAAGAAUGGGAACUCUCCACCAGUCAUCCAUGUGCAUGAAGUGGGUCAAUCUAUUAUGUGUUUAAUUGAGGACUUCUCCCCAAAAAAGCUCAGUAUUAAGUGGAAAGAGGACAACCAGGAAGUCGAAGGCAUUGACUGGAAAACUACUGAAAAUCCUACAGGCUCUUUCAAAGCUGUCAGUUUGCUUCAAGCCAACCAAACAAGCAUGGACACCAAAUACAGCUGUGAAGUCACACAUGCAGGUUUAACAUAUGUGCAGCAACUCUCAUCUAAAGCUAAGUUCUCUCUAAAGAUUAAUCCACCAUCUGAGAAGAAUCUUUUUGUACAGAAUAAAGCAGUAAUCACCUGUGUCAUAACUGGUGAUAGCAAAAAAGAAGUGGAAGCAGCAAACUUGUCGUGGACAUUUGGAGGACAAACACCUAAUCCCCCAACCAUUGUAACAGAUAAUGUUAAAGAGACGACACCACCAUUUACUAAAACCAGUACAUUGAACAUCAGUGAAUCUGAAUGGUUUUCUGGGUCAGAAGUAAAGUGCUCUACUGAAAGAGAUAAAACACCAUUCUCAGAGAAAAUUAGAGUGAAGAUAGGAGGUGAACGCCCCUCUGUUCUCUUCUACAAACCUGAGAAGCAUGUCUCUGACUCUGAUAAAGUCUCUCUGUUGUGUGAAGUCAGCAGCUCUGAUCUGGGGGAUGUGUACAUCAUGUGGCAAAAGAAUGGUGGUGAAUACAUGGAAGGCAGCAGCACAGUUCACAUCAACAAUAAUACUGUCCUCAGCUACUUAACUGUGUCUGGAAAGGAAUACAACGAUAAGAAAAAUAAGUUCAUUUGUGCAGUCAAAGAUGCCAACAAGGAGAAUGACACCACCCCGAGGAUAAACUCAACAUCCGCGAGUAAACUCCCUCCCUGUCCUGCGUAUCCUUUUUAUGACUAAGAGUUUUCUCAG
Astyanax mexicanus (Mexican tetra) is the source of this 1202-nucleotide non-coding RNA. The record is from the annotation of a RefSeq genome assembly. Lineage: Eukaryota; Metazoa; Chordata; Actinopteri; Characiformes; Acestrorhamphidae.